AAUCACUGGAGGGAUGGGUGUCGAUAUAGCUAUAGAAGCGCUGGGGAGACCAUCAACUUUUAUGCAGUGCACAAAAAGUAUACGAGAUGGUGGAAAAGCUGUUAUGAUAGGACUUGCUUCAAACACUGCUGUGGGGGAGAUAAAUAUAAACCAUCUGGUUCGUCGACAGAUAAAAAUAAUUGGCUCAUAUGGUGCAAGGGCCAGACAAGAUCUCCCUCAGGUGGUUAAGCUUGCACAGAGGGGUGUCUUCAAUCUCCAAAAUACUGUUUCCAGAAAAUGCAAAUUUGAAGAAGCCAAUAGCGCAUAUGAUGAUCUCAAUCAUGGAAAGAUUGUUGGUCGAGCAGUUGUUGAGAUUAUGUAGCUCAAGAAUGUUUAGGUUUCUAGAUGCGCUUAAAUUUCCAGCAAGAGGAUAUCUUCAGGUGGGAGCACUCGUUCUAACAUUGGAAGGAAAGUUCCAAAUUGUUUACUGCUUGUGUUGUAUGAAUCUCAAACUACCAGGUCAUUGGCAUGGUGCCGAUUGUAGAAUACAGAGACAUUUGAACUUAUUUUGCUGUGAAAAUUUAGCGAAUUCUUGAGAAGUUGAUAGGGUCGAAAGUAUCUAGAGAAAUGAUGUCGUUAGGUGAAGAUAUGUAUAUGUUUUGUAUCUAGGUAAAUGCUGGCUUGUAGACUAAGCAGAUUUGGAUACUGUGUCUGAAUAAAUGCUGUUAUUCGGAGGGGUAAAAAAAGGUAAAAGGAGCUAUCGACCGAA
Long non-coding RNA from Asparagus officinalis (garden asparagus), 748 nucleotides. RefSeq lists it as uncharacterized. NCBI's taxonomy places the organism in Eukaryota, Viridiplantae, Streptophyta, Magnoliopsida, Asparagales, Asparagaceae. The record is from RefSeq and is a predicted model, not a curated record. The transcript has 3 exons.